UUUUUUUUUUUUUUUUUUAAUUCCUUUUGACUACUCCUAGGCCAGUCUCCUAUUAUGUUAUUGCCCUAGCUUUUAAUAAAUUCUAAUGAAAGAUAUGAAUAGUCAUUUGUCAGAAUUUUCUUGAUUGGUUCCACCUAUCUUUCUUCUUAUGAAAUUCAGAAUUAUCUCCUAAAUCAGACACAAAUAAGUGUUUGGUCUUUUUAUUGGGUUUAUAUUGGAUUUAUAGGUUAAUUUAGAAAGAUAUAUCUUACAAUUUUGAGUCUGCCUAUGCAAGAAUAAGAUACCACAUGUAAGUCUUUGUUCACCCAUCAUUUUCCUCUCGUCCCAAGUCCUGAGAAUUUUACAGUAAGCUUAUUCUAUAUUUUAUAUUUUCUUAUUUCUACUGAAUAGGGUCCUUUUGCCAUUAUCUAUUUUAUAUUAGUCAUACUCAGAAAAAAACAUAGUUUUGUAUGACAAUACUGUAGUUAAUUACCUAUUGAGUUAUCUUUUUAGCUUAUUGUUGCUAGAAUGGUGUUGAAACAACACAUUAUCCAUUUUGAAAAAAAAAACAAAAACACCUCAUAUUAUUCACCAGAACAAAUUAAGUCAAAUGAGUCAAAAUUAAAAACUUAAUUAGGAGUGUAUUCUUUUCUCUUUAUUUAAAAUGAAGCUACUUAAGUUCAGCAAAGUUAAGGAACUUGCCUAAAAUCACACAGAUAGUAAAUGGCAGAGCCAAGAUGUCUGUGUGACACUAAUGUUUUAAACAAUUGUAUCUAUUUUUCUAUUUUAAAAGUCUCAUCUCUAUUCCUGGGAUUAAUCUCCAUCUUGUCUACCACUACUAGACACUAGCUCCUGAAAAAAGCCAAUGCUGAUUACCUGCUCACCUGCCUGGAACUCUGAACAAAGCUUCUGUCCCAGUUCCCAAUUGUCUACUGUCCUCUACUUUCCUCUCUCUCCUGAGGUUCAUUGUGUUUUGCUUGGCAUGAUUACUAGAUUUUCAUAUUGCAAAAAUAACAGAGAAUAGGUCAUUUACAUGCAAAGUUGGAUAAGAAAACGCAAACUUUCUUACCUCCAUUAUUUUGAAUUUUGUUACAAAAGCACCUUUGACUGGUAGAUAAGCUAUCCGUGAACUUGCAGAAUGAUGAAUGGCUGGUGACCUUCUCAAGGAUUAGAAGAUCUUCUAAGAGUACAUUAAUUUCUAAACAGGUGAGAGAUUUAAUUCCUUUGGAUCACAUUACAUAGGAUUCCAAGCUAUUCUACCCCAUACUUCCAUAUUCUGGCUAUAGAAUUACAUUGAAAUUACAUGUGGCCAGCAUGAGGUUCAGGCAGAUAAGGUGAUAUAAUGCAGGGGCUGCCUGUGUGGUGAGAUCUGACAGGUUGCCAAGCAGGAUAAAUUGCCUCAAAGAUAUCAAACUUUAAAGCUUAAUUAUUUUCCCAUUAAGACUUCUUUUACAAUGCAAAUAUUAAUGCAAACAGUUAUACCUUUUAUCAGCUAAUGUCUUAAUCUUCAAUGAACACCUACGGGACUUGUCAGCCUGCUGGUAAUCAGGAGAGGUAGUUGCUGAAAGAGGUUCUGGGGAAUGGGUAGGAUUGGAUUGGAAGAAGAAGACACUCUUAGAGGAAGGGGGUUUGUGCACAGCUCAGAUAUACUGAAUCUGCUCUGGCUUGGUUUGUCUAAAUGUUGGAGGUAACACUGAGACAGAAAAUCAUUCUCAGGAAUAUCUAAGUCUUGGUGUGAAAGAGUUGCAAAUAGGGAUAAAAAGGUCACGGCUUAUGGCACUUAUAAAUGAGCCAGUCUUGGAAUAGGUAUAAAACACACCAGAAGUCUUUGGGUUCAUUUGAGGUCAUGCUAGGUGAUCUUUUAAACUUGCUGAUCCAUAUCUUGAUGAGAGCAAUCAUAUCCAGGUUUUCAGAAGAUAAUUGGGUAAAUUCUGAGCAGGAGGUCUUGGAAUGUCUUCAAAAAAUCACUAGGCUCUCAAAUCUCCUCAGCCCCCUUCUGCCUUGGAUACUAUUCUAAAAUAUUGCUGGUUUCCAGAAGGCUAAAGCUGAUUACAUCAAUAUCUCUACAUUUACUGAUGUGGAGUAAUACCUUGCAAUUUCAAAGUGAAAAAAAGUUACACACCUCAAAACACCACCUAUCUACAGAUGGUUUCACCUGAAGGGACACUUAGCAGUGGCUCUUGGGCGACACUGUCUGACCUGCAGUGUUCAGGGGCAAAGUUGACCACAGGAAGAUGUGAAGGCAGAAAAGGAUGAGGAGGAAGUCGUGCCCCAAAUAAGAAGGUAAUGGAAGGGGGGCAUGGGGGGGGUCACAGGAAGAAAUGCAGUAAAUCAGAUCUCGGGGAAGUAUAAGAGCAGGGAGAAAAUGCUAUCAGAAUUACAACAGCCUAGGAGUUCCCUGGUAGCUCAAUGGGUUAAGGAUCCUGCUUUAUCACUGCUGUGGCAUAAAUUUGAUUCCUGGCCCAGGAAAUAGCUUCCACAUGCCCUGGGCAUGUGGGAAAAAAAAAUUACAAUAGCCUAGCACAGACUCACAGAUAACUACAAAAUCAGCCUGUUGGCUGUCAGGACAGAGAGGUUCGUUUUAGUUGGUUGAACCUAAGCCUAUUCACAAAAAGACUUGAUCUGGAUAUGACAUAAAAUAACCAUGCUAAUAAGUGGUUACCUGUUAUUCUACAUAUCGGAAAGUAAGUGAACAGAAUGAGCCUAUGAUUGCAAAAGUAGCUGGGUAUAGGCAAGUUUCGGGGUCACAAAAGUUUGGAGUGGUCAUGCCUGACAACACAGUGAUAACCUUUAGUCUUCUUUAAAGGACUAGAGUUUUUUGUUUGUUUGUUUGUUUGUUUUUGUCUUUCUGCCAUUUCUUGGGCCGCUCCCGUGGCAUAUGGAGGUUCCCAGGCUAGGCGUCUAAUCAGAGCUGUAGCUGCUGGCCUACGUCAGAGCCACAGCAACACGGGAACAACCUACAUCACAGCUCAUGGCAACGUCGGAUCCUCAACCCACUGAGCAAGGCCAGGGAUCAAACCCACAACCUCAUGGUUCCUAGUCGGAUUCGUUAACCACUGAGCCAUGACAGGAACUCCUCAAACAGCUUUUAAAGAUCAGUGUCCCUCCCUGGUCUUGACACAGUUCCAGUGGUCUAAGGGCAGAUGAUCAAGGCACAUCAGGGAUAAUGAAAAAGUUUUGUCCCUAUGUUCAAUGCUUAUCUAAUGAACUGUUUACCUACAGAACUGUUGAGUGACAUCAUGGGUGAGAGCUGUUAGUGGUUGCCAUGGGAAAAGGAGGUGCUGAUUGCAUAUGAACUGCAUGUGUGAGUUAUACCUUGGUUAGAGCAUGGCUAGGUUGGAUCCACGCUAAACAAAAGAACAAAAUUCCCAAAUAGUCAGAUGUCUGACCUCCCCCUCCCCGAGUCCAAGCAAUGGCUAUUGAGAAACUACCCCUCUUUACAUCAAGGAGUCAGAGUUGGAAUAUCUUAAAGCAACUUAAAAAUGAAAGGUAUUUGAAAGAAAAUAGGAGGGAGUGUAAAAAAUAUAUUCCGGGACAGCUGGAGAAAACUAAGUGACAAAAUUUUGGUUAGCAGGAAUGUGGAAUUACUCCCUAACCUGGCAAGAAUAUAUUUUUUACUAAAGAGUUGAAAAUUUAAAACCCGAGGCACACAUAUUUAAAAGAAAGUUUAACUGAAAGUUUAAAAGUGAUUUCACUAAAUGUAAUCAUAUAGAUUUAAUUUCCUCUCUGGAAAAGAUACUAGUAACUUUUCCAAAUUAUAGUUCAGGACAUAGGUUCUUAAAAGUAGCAGAGCACUGGGUAAUUGUAGCACUCUCUGUCUAGCAAUAUAUCAAAUACAAGAAGCUAAACAUUUGAUUACAUGAUUUUGUGUGUACCAUACAUUGGAUUGUUAGAUUUUAAUUCAGAAAGAAAUAGUGUAGACAUCGAAAAAUUUUGAGAAUGUUUUAUGGGACAACCUUCAAUCAAUAAAAUUCUAUUUUAUUCAGUAAUAUUCCUUCUAUGAUCAGUAAAAGAGUGCCAGUAUUCCAUUUGGGCAGCAGAACCACUAUGCUCAGUUUCUGGAACACUGGUGUUCCUUAGUACAUAGUUUGGAAACUAUUUUUUUGGCUUUUUUGCCUUUUAGGGCUGUGCCCGCGGCUAUGGAGAUUCCCAGGCUAGAGGUUCAAUUGGAGCUACAGCUGCUGGCCUACACCACAGCCCCAGCCACGCAGGAUCUGAGCUCCAUCUGCGACCUUACAACACAGCUCAUAGCAACACCGGAUCCUUAACCCACUGAGCGAGGCCAGGGUUCAAACCUGCAACCUUAUCGUUCUUAGAUUUGUUUCCGCUGAGCCACGAUGGGAACUGCAGUUUGGAAACUAUUAAAUAGCUCUCAAAGGACAAAUCAAUGCAAUUAUGCUCAAGAGAUAAAUCAAAAUCAAGUAAUGUAAAGGGAUGGUAGGUAAACUGCCAAUCAUCCAAACUUUGAUAGCCAUUAAGUGAAAAGCCAAAUAUGACUGGGAGAAUGACAGGUUGGGUUCUUCAUAGGGGUGGAACUCUAUUUCAUGAGAGAGAGAGAGAGUCUACAAAUACAGGAAGGGUGGCUCCCCUUUGCAGCGAGUACCAGCUCUUCAGAAUAAAAAGUACAUUAGAGAGUUUAAUUUGACAACUAUUAUACAUUCAGCAUCGUCCUGGGAAAAUACAACAAAGCAUAAGAAGACAAUACAAAAAAUGUAAAGAGGAUGUAACUAUUUAGAAAACCAUUACAUUAAUAACAAUUAAUUAAUAAUAACUUAAAUUUGCUUCUACUGUCAAUAUUCAUUACCUUUGGAUGUUCUAGUUUCUUACUUUCGAAUAUAAUGACCAGUGCCCAGAGACAGUAGACACCUAUUGAAAGUUAAUUACUUUUUUAGUCUCAUUUUCUUUCUGUCACAACCAUUUCUAAGAAUAUUUACCUCUUAGACUCUGAAUAACCUGUCUUAUAUCUGCUGAACCACAUAAAACUAAAGACUGGAGAUUUAACACAGAUGUCUUUACUGAACAAAAAUCUUUUGGUGCUCUCAAGCUUUUUGAAAUGGACUGUAUUCUGUCUAUGGAAUGUGUAUCUCUAAUUAAAUCCACUUCUUACCUAUCAAAAAUGUUUUAUUUUUGGCAUAAAUCUAGAUAUCUAUCAAUAUCUAUACCCUAUUAUUUUAUCGAUAAGCAAAAAUAUUUAAAAAAAUACUUCUUGAGAUUGUUUUUUCCCCCAAGUCUGUUUUAAGUUGGAUCUAGUAGAGGUGCAGAGAGAGCAAACUGGCCAAUGGGCCAAAUUUUACCUGGUGCUUGUUUUUAUACAGCCCAUAACUAAGAAUGAUUUUCUGUUUUAAAAUAGUUUAAAAAGUUAAGCAAAAACAAUAUUUCGUAGCGCAUGAAAAGUGUAUGAAAUUCAAAUUCUAGUGUUCGUAAAUAAAUUUUAUUAGGAUUUAGCCAUGCCCACAUAUUUGCUGGCUGUCUACAACUAACAACAUCAACAGCAGAGUUUAGUUACAACAAAGACCAUAUGGCCUACAAAGCUUAAAAUAUUUACUACCUGGUCCUUUACGGAAAAAAUUUGGCAACCUCUGGUAUUAAGGAAGAAACUGUAACAUGCAAGUCUGAAGAACUGCAUUUUUCCUUGGCUCUUGUGUUUCCCCC
This 5631-nucleotide long non-coding RNA is filed under the name Sus scrofa (pig). RNAcentral describes it as "lncRNA (ENSSSCG00060058791.1)". Lineage: Eukaryota; Metazoa; Chordata; Mammalia; Artiodactyla; Suidae. The record is from RNAcentral.